This 2766-nucleotide long non-coding RNA is filed under the name Marmota monax (woodchuck). Lineage: Eukaryota; Metazoa; Chordata; Mammalia; Rodentia; Sciuridae. The record is from RNAcentral.
AUUACUGUGAAUUCCUUGUCAAAUAGUUUGAAAAAUUGAUUCAUAUUCAUCUUGCUCUUCACAGAUUGUCUUUUUAAAAAUAAGCUGUAAUUUAAUUGUUAUUGGUAAAAUAGAUUAUUUUUAUUAGUUCUUAAGCAUUUGUCUCAUUAUUAUAAAAGCUUUAUAGUCCAAUUUACAUGUUGUAUUUUAACAACCAGUCACCUAGUUUAGGUUUGCCAUGUGUAUAUUGGCUGAUUUUUGUGGAUUGUGUCAGUAUACACUUUAUAGUGUGGCUCAAUUGGCAGUGCCUUUAGGGUGCUAUUUUGAUGACUUUAUUUAUCUGCAGCUAUCAGGGACCCUAUUCAUCCAGGAUAUUUCUGCCUAAAGGGGGAAACUGUUUUUUUCUUGUGCCAUAUUUUAGGUGGCCCAUGAUGGGAGAGCCAUGGGGUAGAAUUGCCUUACUGGUGACUUCCAGCUUCCCUGGUGUCCUUCAAAGGAAUAUAGAUGCUAAAAAUCAUAAAGUCAAUGAGUGUUUGUGACCAGGUCAGCUGGUGAUAGCUCUCUUCAGCCAGCUCUGUGUGCUGCCUCAAUAGCACUUACUGGGAAGAAAGGAGACUUUAAAUCUAUAAAGCGGAAGAAUACCUAUAUCGAGAGCUCAUUCUCCUAGGGACUCCCAAAGGAUGCCCCUUGCAAGAGUUGUUAUGAUUUCCUGAUGUUGCCAAAGGGACUUUUGUUUGUUCUAAGGUGGUACUGAUUUUAUUGGGAGGCCAGCAGGAAUGGAUCUUAUUCUUUUGGGUCAGGACAUACAAAAGACUUAUGUUUUCAAACCGGAUUGUGUUUUUAUAAUAUUUCAAAAUUCACCUAUGUUUAUAAGAUGACUUUCAAAUGAAACAAAAUUCAUUGAAUUGCUAUUUAAUCUUAAUCAUUUUGCUUUAGCUUUGAUCAAGAUUGUAUUUUGUUACCCAAAAUGAUCAGUUAAUUUUUAAAUAGCUAAAUAUUGGAACUUGAGACACUUCUCCAGUCUUAGCAUCUUGGAAUUCAUUUAAGUAAUAGUGAAUUUUAUUGUCAAACAUAGGACUUCCUUUUUAAGCAAUUGAUUUCCAUCUGUGUGAAGGUUUCUCUUCUCCUCAGAAUGUGUCAGUAUGGAGCUUAAUCUCUUUCCAAAAUUCCUAAAAUGUUGUGUCAGGUUAUCCCUGCUCCUUCCUUAAUGCCACAAUUCAUUCUCAGACCCAGUCCCAAUUCUAAGGACUACAAUACCAAGACCUUGCUUUUUCAUUAGUUUCACUAUCUUUCCAAAGCCUAAUUUGUAGACAAUAUCAUCAGUUUUUCUAUCCUGUUAAUGUUACAUGUCACUCAUUAAACUUUCCAUUUUCCUUCCUUAAUGCUAACCAAACCCACAAACAGUGUUAUAGGCAUUAUGAGGUUUUAUUCUAGAAUCUCUCUGAGUAAUAAACCAUGUUUCUGUGUUCUUCCUGAUGGGCCUAGAUUACACGGGAUUUCCCAUAAGAAUGCACAUUUGCUGGUGAAUAUAAUGAUCACAUUAGAGUAUGAUCAUAAUCUUAAGAUUACUAAGGGGUAACAAAUAGUUGUCCCACAUGUGAUUCCAGAAAUAAUAGAGAAAUGACUUAAAAAAUAAAAACCUUAAUAAUGUACAAUCAGUUGUUAAAAGUUAUUUGCCAAAUUCACUGCUAAUUUUAAGUUAGUAAAAUGUUAAUAACCAGUGACUGGUUCACGCUUAGAUUCACAUAAGGAAUUGAGGGAAUAAUUUUACUAAAAAUUAAAAACUCUGAGCCACAAUCUGAACAAGGACUAGUUUGUCCAAGUUAUAUGCCUUACCUUUAUAAAAAAUAGCAAAGUGUUGGUAGAAUAGAAUCAGAUUUUUUUUCCCACAGUAAGAGGAGCAAUAGUUGUAUCAGUUCUAGAAGUGUAGUCAUUAUCAAUAAUCAGUCAUCAAUUGCCCAGAACCAGACCCCAGGUUGAUCAAAUGGCUUCUCUCUUUGGAACAUCAAGCUCUAAUGUCUACUAAAACAACAGAGAAUUAGAUUAAAAGAAUAAUGGGUGGUAUCUAACAUAUUCACAAAUGCUUCUGCAUAGCUUUCUAGGCGAAGUCCUCUAAUUAAAGUAGAAGUAAUGUUUCUGUCAUACCUGGUUCACUUUCAUGUAGGAAUUUAAAUGACAUUCCUUCACAUUGUUGUAUAGUUUUACCUUGUGUUACUUCUAAGUCUCUAUUCAGAUGCCCAUUGUCAAAUCUUAUGCAGAUAUUUAAGAAAAACAGUCAUACUUUAUCAUUUACUUGUGGGCCAUAUUUCAUUGAUGCAAUGACAGUAUUUCUAUAAAGUUUGUACAGAAAACUUUUUCAUUUCCAGUCGAAAUAGGGUUCUCCACAAAAACCAAAACCAAAAGAAUAUAGAUAAUAAAUAGGUAGAUAGAUCAAUAUAUCAAUAGAUAUUUGGUAUGGAAAUUGACUUGUGAUUAUGAAGGGUGCACAAUUCCAACAUCUACUUUCUGUGAACUUGAGGACCAAGAAAGUCAGUGGUGGAAAUCAAAGCUAUUCUAAAAGUCUUCAAAUCAGUGGAGCCAAUGGUUUAAAUCUUGAAGUCCCAAAAGCCAGGAGUUCUGAUGUAUGGGGCAGGAGUAGAGGGCUAUCGCAGCUUUAGGACUGAGCAAAUUCCAGCACCAACCCCUACAUUCAUAUUCUGUCUGGUCUCUCCAUGGUCAGGUUGAUGACUGCCACACUAGGGAGGGUGAUCUGCCNUCCAACUAGGGCUAUAAAAGGACCUGUGCUAG